UGCAAGUCGAACGGCAGCACGGACUUCGGUCUGGUGGCGAGUGGCGAACGGGUGAGUAAUACAUCGGAAUGUACCCAGUAAUGGGGGAUAACGAAUCGAAAGAUUCGCUAAUACCGCAUACGCCCUACGGGGGAAAGAGGGGGAUCGCAAGACCUCUUGUUAUUGGAGCAGCCGAUGGCUGAUUAGCUAGUUGGUGAGGUAAAGGCUCACCAAGGCGACGAUCAGUAGCGGGUCUUAGAGGACGAUCCGCCACACUGGAACUGAGACACGGUCCAGACUCCUACGGGAGGCAGCAGUGGGGAAUCUUGGACAAUGGGCGAAAGCCUGAUCCAGCAAUGCCGCGUGCGUGAAGAAGGCCUUCGGGUUGUAAAGCGCUUUUGUCAGGGAGCAAGGAGAUGUGGCUAAUAUCCACAGUGAGAGAGAGUACCUGAAGAAUAAGGACCGGCUAACUACGUGCCAGCAGCCGCGGUAAUACGUAGGGUCCAAGCGUUAAUCGGAAUUACUGGGCGUAAAGCGUGCGCAGGUGGUCUGUUAAGCACGAUGUGAAAUCCCCGGGCUCAACCUGGGAAUUGCAUUGUGAACUGUCAGACUAGAGUACGGCAGAGGGGGGUGGAAUUCCACGUGUAGCAGUGAAAUGCGUAGAGAUGUGGAGGAACACCGAUGGCGAAGGCAACCCCCUGGGCUGAUACUGACACUCAUG
RNAcentral lists this ribosomal RNA (700 nucleotides) under uncultured bacterium. RNAcentral's name for it is "bacterial SSU rRNA". It matches the Rfam family "Bacterial small subunit ribosomal RNA", at positions 56 to 751 of the family's 1533-position model. The record is from RNAcentral.